RNAcentral lists this ribosomal RNA (253 nucleotides) under uncultured bacterium. RNAcentral's name for it is "partial 16S ribosomal RNA". It matches the Rfam family "Bacterial small subunit ribosomal RNA", at positions 524 to 776 of the family's 1533-position model. The record is from RNAcentral.
UACGGAGGAGGCAAGCGUUAUCCGGAAUUAUUGGGCGUAAAGCGUCCGUAGGUGGCACUUCAAGUCUGCGGUCAAAGACCGGGGCUUAACCCUGGAAAGGCCGUGGAAACUGAAGUGCUAGAGUGCAGGUAGGGUAGAGGGAAUUCCCGGUGUAGCGGUGAAAUGCGUAGAGAUCGGAAAGAACACCAACGGCGAAAGCACUCUGCUGGGCCGACACUGACACUGAGAGACGAAAGCUAGGGGAGCGAAUGGG